RNAcentral lists this ribosomal RNA (253 nucleotides) under uncultured bacterium. RNAcentral describes it as "partial 16S ribosomal RNA". It matches the Rfam family "Bacterial small subunit ribosomal RNA", at positions 524 to 776 of the family's 1533-position model. The record is from RNAcentral.
UACGUAGGGUGCAAGCGUUGUCCGGAAUUAUUGGGCGUAAAGAGCUCGUAGGCGGUUAGUCGCGUCUGCUGUGAAAACUCGGGGCUUAACUCCGGGCCUGCAGUGGGUACGGGCUGACUAGAGUGCGGUAGGGGAGACUGGAAUUCCUGGUGUAGCGGUGAAAUGCGCAGAUAUCAGGAGGAACACCAGUGGCGAAGGCGGCUCACUGGCCCGAUACUGACGCUGAGGCACGAAAGCGUGGGGAGCAAACAGG